GAGUUUGAUCCUGGCUCAGGAUGAACGCUAGCGGCAGGCUUAACACAUGCAAGUCGAGGGGUAACGGGGAAGCUUGCUUCCGCCGACGACCGGCGCACGGGUGCGUAACGCGUAUACAAUCUACCUUAUACUGGGGUAUAGCCUUUAGAAAUGAAGAUUAACCCCCCAUAGUCUCUUAGAGUGGCAUCACUUCUAGAGUAAAGGUUACGGUAUAAGAUGAGUAUGCGUUCUAUUAGUUUGUUGGUGUGGUAACGGCACACCAAGACUACGAUAGAUAGGGGCCCUGAGAGGGGGAUCCCCCACACUGGUACUGAGACACGGACCAGACUCCUACGGGAGGCAGCAGUGAGGAAUAUUGGACAAUGGAGGCAACUCUGAUCCAGCCAUGCCGCGUGCAGGAAGACUGCCCUAUGGGUUGUAAACUGCUUUUAUACAGGAAGAAACACCUCUACGUGUAGAGGCUUGACGGUACUGUAAGAAUAAGGAUCGGCUAACUCCGUGCCAGCAGCCGCGGUAAUACGGAGGAUCCAAGCGUUAUCCGGAAUCAUUGGGUUUAAAGGGUCCGUAGGUGAUAAUUAAGUCAGAGGUGAAAUCUUGCAGCUCAACUGUAAAAUUGCCUUUGAAACUGGUUAUCUUGAGUUAUUAUGAAGUAGUUAGAAUAUGUAGUGUAGCGGUGAAAUGCAUAGAUAUUACAUAGAUACCCAAUUGCGAAGGCAGAUUACUAAUAAUCAACUGACACUGAUGGACGAAAGCGUGGGUAGCGAACAGGAUUAGAUACCCUGGUAGUCCACGCCGUAAACGAUGGUUACUAGCUGUUUGGACUUCGGUCUGAGUGGCUAAGCGAAAGUGAUAAGUAACCCACCUGGGGAGUACGUUCGCAAGAAUGAAACUCAAAGGAAUUGACGGGGGCCCGCACAAGCGGUGGAGCAUGUGGUUUAAUUCGAUGAUACGCGAGGAACCUUACCAGGGCUUAAAUGUAAGUUGCAUUAGUUAGAGAUAGCUAUUUCUUCGGACCACUUACAAGGUGCUGCAUGGUUGUCGUCAGCUCGUGCCGUGAGGUGUCAGGUUAAGUCCUAUAACGAGCGCAACCCCUGUUGUUAGUUGCCAGCGAGUCAUGUCGGGAACUCUAGCAAGACUGCCAGUGCAAACUGUGAGGAAGGUGGGGAUGACGUCAAAUCAUCACGGCCCUUACGUCCUGGGCUACACACGUGCUACAAUGGUAGGUACAGAGAGCAGCCACUGCGCGAGCAGGAGCGAAUCUAUAAAACCUAUCACAGUUCGGAUCGGAGUCUGCAACUCGACUCCGUGAAGCUGGAAUCGCUAGUAAUCGGAUAUCAGCCAUGAUCCGGUGAAUACGUUCCCGGGCCUUGUACACACCGCCCGUCAAGCCAUGGAAGUUGGAAGUGCCUGAAGUCCGUCACCGUAAGGAGCGGCCUAGGGUAAAGUCGAUAACUAGGGCUAAGUCGUAACAAGGUAACC
RNAcentral lists this ribosomal RNA (1479 nucleotides) under uncultured marine bacterium. Its description in RNAcentral is "bacterial SSU rRNA". It matches the Rfam family "Bacterial small subunit ribosomal RNA". The record is from RNAcentral.